CUGGAUGAACAAGUUCAACUUGGCGAUGGAGGCAGAGAAUGUCACAUUGAUAAAAGAUUUGUUUUCCGUACAGUCACAUUUUUAUCAGUGUUCCACACUCAUAAGAGGAAGAAUAUGGAGAGUUUAGAAGAGGACAGAGAGGGUGAAAGACUGCACAACAGUGUGGACCAUGGUGCAGAGUGCGGUUUACAGUCAACACUGAAGAAAUAUGCCUGUGAACUCACACUGGACCCAAACACAGCUCACAGAAAGCUCAUUCUGUUUGAGGGGAACAGAAAAGUGAGACGAGCGGAAGAGGAACAGUUGUAUUCUGAUCACCCAGAGAGAUUUGAAAAAUGGUCACAAGUGCUGUGUAGAGAGGGCCUGUCUGGGCGCUGUUACUGGGAGGUAGAGUGGACUGGGCAAGAGAUUCGUAUAGGAGUGACAUAUAAAGGAAUCUGCAGGAGAGGAUUAGGGUAUGAGUGUGGAAUUGGACAUAAUGACAUGUCCUGGAGUCUCAGUUGUUAUGAUGACUACUUCAACGCCAGGCACAACAAGGAGAACAUUACUGUACCUGCACCCUCCUCUAGCUCUUACAGAGUAGGAGUGUUUCUGGACUGGCCUGCCGGCACUCUGUCCUUCUACAGUGUCUCCUCUGACACGCUGAACCACCUACACACUUUCCACAACACAUUCACCGAGCCCCUCUACCCAGGGUUUAGGAUGUGGUAUCGUGGGUCUUCAGUUUCCCUGUGCAAGACAACUGCUGGGGAGUGCUGAACAAUAGAUGUUGUUAGGACCAUCAGUAUGUAUAAAUGCUUCUCUUUUUUUAACAAGUGGGGUUACAGGCAGAAUACAACACAGACACAAAGACAGGCUCUGGCAUACACUCAUUAAGUGUAACUCAGAGUUUAUAUUGGUGAGGAAUGCCCUUGACUUCCAUGUGAGGCUCUUGUAGAUGUAUCAGAUGUAUACAUUUAUCUUUACAGUGACAGAAAAUGUCAAGUGAGCAAUUUCCUUUAUAUUUCUGAUGGCAUGAUGAAUGAAAACAUAUUGAAAAUGUUGUAUGCCAUGGAAUCCUAACUGAUGGUAAAUAAAAAGUAUCGCGACAACA
Long non-coding RNA from Oncorhynchus masou masou (cherry salmon), 1093 nucleotides. RefSeq lists it as uncharacterized. Lineage: Eukaryota; Metazoa; Chordata; Actinopteri; Salmoniformes; Salmonidae. The transcript has 3 exons. The record is from RefSeq and is a predicted model, not a curated record.